CAGGUUAGGAGCCUGAGGCUUUGAGAAGACUGGUGGCUGAUCUCAGGUUUUCCAGUUUGAAAGUGAGAAGCCUGGAGUCUCAUAGGUUUGUCUUUGACCCUAAUGCUUCUGAGACCCCCUCAGUGCCCACCCUACUCCGCCUUCCUGGUCAGGUCAAUGGGCCUGAAGAACCAAGUUUUCCCACCCUUAAUUCUUUGUUUUCCAGAAAUGUGGACGCUCCACCCGCUGUUCAGCUUAGCUCUGCCUUGGCUGACUCCACAGCUGGGAAGGGAGGCUUCCCACUGAUCUGGGUAGCGGGCGCCCCCAAAAGUUCACCUUUCUAUGAGCUGAAUCUCACCUCACCAGAAGGUCCCUCCUCCGCGAGGCAUCCCUGCUUCUACAGAGCUGCACCCCCACAGACUGUUCAGAAGAGGAGAGUCCCAGCACAUGCACAGAUCCAGGAUUUUGGGUCAUCCCCCUCUGGACGCUUCUUAAAGGAGGGAGCCCAAUGUGGUGGAUGGAGGGAGCCUACUCCUGGUCAUACGACUGUCGCAGGUUGGCUGUCUUCCCUCUGGGAAACUGAGGUUUGGAGGGUAGGACAUUCUGGGGUGGCAGUGGCAGGAUCUGAACACACUCCGGUGGAGCACAGGCUGUGGAGGAGUUUGCCUGCAUUGCACCAGGAGAGGGGCAGGCAAUGGGGCAGCACUGAUGGGUGGCCACCCUGGGGACCCUCAGUGGUAAAGGCACAGAGGAAAGGAUAUCUUGUUUGGCUGGAGUCACCAAGAAACAUAAGCUGGAAUCAUUCAGAACUCACGCCACUGACUGGUGGUCCUUUAUCCAUGCAGUCAUUUUUCUUUCAUUUUAAAAUGAAUGUCAUUUAUCGUAUGUGCAACCUUUUUUUUUUUUUUUUUUUUUUUGUUCCAGGGAUUGAACUCAUGGGCAUCAGCCACAGAGCCACAACCCCAGCCUUAUUUUGUAUUUUAUUUAGAGAUGGUCUCACUGAGUUGCUAAACUCCUCGCCAUGGCUGAGGCUGGUUUUGAACUUGCGAUCCUCCUGCCUUAGCCUCCCGAGCCAUGCUGAGAUUAUAGGCCUGCACCACGGUGCCCAGCCCAUGCAGUCAUUUUUCAUCCAACACACCUUUUAUUUUUUUGGUGCUGGGGACUGAACCCAGGGCCUUGUGCAUGUGAGGCAAGCACUCUACUAACUGAGCUAUAUCCCCAGCCCUCAUCCAUAUUAUUAUAUAGUUUACUUUUUUUUUUUUCCCCG
This 1246-nucleotide long non-coding RNA is filed under the name Marmota marmota marmota (Alpine marmot). Its description in RNAcentral is "lncRNA (ENSMMMG00000007549.1)". The record is from RNAcentral. Lineage: Eukaryota; Metazoa; Chordata; Mammalia; Rodentia; Sciuridae.